This 223-nucleotide ribosomal RNA is filed under the name Klebsiella quasipneumoniae subsp. similipneumoniae. RNAcentral describes it as "partial 23S ribosomal RNA". It matches the Rfam family "Bacterial large subunit ribosomal RNA", at positions 1 to 240 of the family's 2925-position model. The record is from RNAcentral. Lineage: Bacteria; Pseudomonadati; Pseudomonadota; Gammaproteobacteria; Enterobacterales; Enterobacteriaceae.
GACUAAGCGUACACGGUGGAUGCCCUGGCAGUCAGAGGCGAUGAAGGACGUGCUAAUCUGCGAAAAGCGUCGGUAAGGUGAUAUGAACCGUUAUAACCGGCGAUGUCCGAAUGGGGAAACCCAGUGCAAUUCGUUGCACUAUCGUUAACUGAAUACAUAGGUUAACGAGGCGAACCGGGGGAACUGAAACAUCUAAGUACCCCGAGGAAAAGAAAAACCCGGU